RNAcentral lists this ribosomal RNA (414 nucleotides) under uncultured bacterium. Its description in RNAcentral is "bacterial SSU rRNA". It matches the Rfam family "Bacterial small subunit ribosomal RNA", at positions 30 to 420 of the family's 1533-position model. The record is from RNAcentral.
AGUGAACGCUGGCGGCAGGCCUAACACAUGCAAGUCGAGCGGCAGCGCGUCCGACCACCCUCGGGUGGUCGGAUGGCGGCGAGCGGCGGACGGGUGAGGAAUGCAUCGGAAUCUGCCUCGUUGUGGGGGAGUAACGUAGGGAAACGUUAACGCUAAUACCGCAUACGACCUACGGGUGAAAGUAGGGGGACCGUUCGGGCCGUCACGCGAUGAGAUGAGCCGAUGCCGGAUUAGCUAGUUGGCGGGGUAAAGGGCCCGACCAAGGCGACGAUCCGUAGCUGGUCUGAGAGGAUGAUCAGCCACACUGGAACUGAGACACGGUCCAGACUCCUACGGGAGGCAGCAGUGGGGGAAUAUUGGACAAUGGGGGCGAACCCUGAUCCAGCCAUGCCGCGUGUGUGAAGAAGGCCUCGG